GACAAACGCUGGCGGCGUGCCUAACACAUGCAAGUCUGACGGGAAAGUCUCCUUCGGGAGACGAGUACAGUGGCGGACGGGUGAGUAACGCGUGGGAAUCUACCCGGUAGUGGGGGAUAACCCUUCGAAAGGGGGGCUAAUACCGCAUAAGUCCUACGGGGUAAAGAUGGCCUCUUUACAAUGCUAUCGCUUCCGGAUGAGCCCGCGUCCUAUUAGCUAGUUGGUGAGGUAAUGGCUUACCAAGGCCACGAUGGGUAGCCGGUCUGAGAGGAUGAACGGCCACACUGGGACUGAGAUACGGCCCAGACUCCUACGGGAGGCAGCAGUGGGGAAUCUUGCGCAAUGGGGGAAACCCUGACGCAGCAACGCCGCGUGGAUGAUGAAGGCCUUCGGUCGUAAGUACCUGUUCUGGGGAAGGAACGUGUAAGAGGGCGUAAUACCCUCUUACCUUGUACGGUACCCCACGCCAGAAAGACUACCGGCCGAACUUAUAGUGCCAGCAGCCGCGGUAAGGCUCGUCUCUA
Molecule: ribosomal RNA, 524 nt
Filed under: uncultured bacterium
Lineage: Bacteria
Description: bacterial SSU rRNA
Rfam family: Bacterial small subunit ribosomal RNA
Source: RNAcentral